RNAcentral lists this ribosomal RNA (497 nucleotides) under uncultured bacterium. RNAcentral describes it as "partial 16S ribosomal RNA". It matches the Rfam family "Bacterial small subunit ribosomal RNA", at positions 28 to 507 of the family's 1533-position model. The record is from RNAcentral.
GAUGAACGCUGGCGGCGUGCCUAAUACAUGCAAGUCGAGCGAACGGACGCGAAGCUUGCUUCUCUGAUGUUAGCGGCGGACAGGUGAGUAACACGUGGAUAACCUACCUAUAAGACUGGGAUAACUUAGGGAAACCGGAGCUAAUACCGGAUAAUAUUUUGAACCGCAUGGUUCAAAAGUAAAAGACGGUUUUGCUGUCACUUAUAGAUGGAUCCGCGCUGCAUUAGCUAGUUGGUAAGGUAACGGCUUACCAAUGCAGCGAUGCAUAGCCGACCUGAGAGGGUGAACGGCCACACUGGGACUGAGACACGAUCCAGACUCCUACGGGAGGCAGAGGUAGGGACUCUUGCGCGAUGGGCGGAAUCCUGACGGAGCAGCGCCGCGUGGGUGAUGAAGGGCUUCGGAUCGUAAGACUCUGUUAUUAGGGAAGAACAUUUGUGUAAGUGACUAUGCACAUCGUGACGGUACCUAAUCAGAAAGCCACGGCUAACUACGUG